Molecule: ribosomal RNA, 253 nt
Filed under: uncultured bacterium
Lineage: Bacteria
Description: partial 16S ribosomal RNA
Rfam family: Bacterial small subunit ribosomal RNA
Source: RNAcentral
UACGUAGGGACCAAGCGUUGUUCGGAUUUACUGGGCGUAAAGGGCGCGUAGGCGGCGUGACAAGUCACUUGUGAAAUCUCUGAGCUUAACUCAGAACGGCCAAGUGAAACUGUUGUGCUAGAGUGCGGAAGGGGCAAUCGGAAUUCUUGGUGUAGCGGUGAAAUGCGUAGAUAUCAAGAGGAACACCUGAGGUGAAGACGGGUUGCUGGGCCGACACUGACGCUGAUGCGCGAAAGCCAGGGGAGCAAACGGG